This 345-nucleotide ribosomal RNA is filed under the name uncultured bacterium. RNAcentral's name for it is "bacterial SSU rRNA". It matches the Rfam family "Bacterial small subunit ribosomal RNA", at positions 373 to 710 of the family's 1533-position model. The record is from RNAcentral.
GGGCGCAAGCCUGAUGCAGCCAUGCCGCGUGUAUGAAGAAGGCCUUCGGGUUGUAAAGCACUUUCAGCGGGGAGGAAGGCGUUAAGGUUAAUAACCUUGGCGAUUGACGUUACCCGCAGAAGAAGCACCGGCUAACUCCGUGCCAGCAGCCGCGGUAAUACGGAGGGUGCAAGCGUUAAUCGGAAUUACUGGGCGUAAAGCGCACGCAGGCGGUCUGUCAAGUCGGAUGUGAAAUCCCCGGGCUCAACCUGGGAACUGCAUUCGAAACUGGCAGGCUAGAGUCUUGUAGAGGGGGGUAGAAUUCCAGGUGUAGCGGUGAAAUGCGUAGAGAUCUGGAGGAAUACC